This 47-nucleotide ribosomal RNA is filed under the name Saccharomyces cerevisiae (brewer's yeast). Its description in RNAcentral is "partial 26S ribosomal RNA". The record is from RNAcentral. Lineage: Eukaryota; Fungi; Ascomycota; Saccharomycetes; Saccharomycetales; Saccharomycetaceae.
UAGGAGUACCCGCUGAACUUAAGCAUAUCAAAAAGCGCGAGGAGAAA